Molecule: ribosomal RNA, 492 nt
Filed under: uncultured bacterium
Lineage: Bacteria
Description: bacterial SSU rRNA
Rfam family: Bacterial small subunit ribosomal RNA
Source: RNAcentral
GACGAACGCUGGCGGCGUGGAUUAGGCAUGCAAGUCGAACGGUAGGAUACCUUCGGGUAUCUGAGAGUGGCGAACGGGUGAGUAACACGUAGGUGACCUACCCUCAAGAUUGGGACAACCCAGGGAAACUUGGGCUAAUACCGGAUGAAAGCAGCAGUGAUGUUGUUUGAAAGGUGGCGUAAGCUGCCGUUUGGGGAUGAGCCUGCGCUCUAUUAGUUAGUUGGCGGGGUAAAGGCCCACCAAGGCGAUGAUAGAUAGGCGGCCUUAACGGGUGGUCGCCCACACUGGGAUUGAGAUACGGCCCAGACUCCUACGGGAGGCAGCAGUCGAGAAUAGUCUACAAUGGCCGAAAGGCUGAUAGUGCGACGCCGCGUGAACGAAGAAGCCCUUCGGGUGUAAAGUUCUUUUAUAUGUGAGCAGUGCUUUCUAUGUGAACAGCAUGGGGAGAGAGAUAUUAGCAUAUGAAUAAGCAACGGCUAACUCCGUGCCAGC